This 271-nucleotide ribosomal RNA is filed under the name uncultured bacterium. RNAcentral's name for it is "partial 16S ribosomal RNA". It matches the Rfam family "Bacterial small subunit ribosomal RNA", at positions 524 to 794 of the family's 1533-position model. The record is from RNAcentral.
UACGUAGGUGGCGAGCGUUGUCCGGAUUUACUGGGCGUAAAGAGCGCGCAGGCGGUCGAUCAAGUCGGAUGUGAAAGCCCCCGGCUCAACUGGGGAGGGUCAUUCGAUACUGAUCGACUCGAAGGCAGGAGAGGGAAGCGGAAUUCCCGGUGUAGUGGUGAAAUGCGUAGAUAUCGGGAGGAACACCAGAGGCGAAGGCGGCUUCCUGGCCUGUUCUUGACGCUGAGGCGCGAAAGCGUGGGGAGCGAACCGGAUUAGAUACCCGUGUAGU